Molecule: ribosomal RNA, 522 nt
Filed under: Amphisbaenidae sp. 84 KGRC-2012
Lineage: Eukaryota; Metazoa; Chordata; Lepidosauria; Squamata; Amphisbaenidae
Description: partial 16S ribosomal RNA
Rfam family: Bacterial large subunit ribosomal RNA
Source: RNAcentral
UUAUACCAGUAUUAAUGUCACGCCUGCCCAGUGAAUUAAAUUUUAACGGCCGCGGUAUCCUAACCGUGCAAAGGUAGCGCAAUCACUUGUUCUUUAAAUAAGGACUAGUAUGAACGGCACCAUGAGGAUCCACUUGUCUCUCAUAAUAAGCCUAUGAAACUGAUCUUCCAGUACAAAAGCUGGAAUAAACACACAAGACGAGAAGACCCUGUGGAGCUUCAAACCAAACUCACCAUACAUGAGCUGCGGUUUUUAGUUGGGGCGACUCUGGAGCAAAACAAAACCUCCAAACUUUACAUCCUUAGGCCAACAUGCCACCAUUAACCCCCCCCACGACCCAAUAUAAUUGAAUAAUGAACCAAGUUACCCCAGGGAUAACAGCGCCAUCUUCUUCUAGAGUCCCUAUCGCCAAGAAGGUUUACGACCUCGAUGUUGGAUCAGGGUACCCAAAUGGUGCAGCCGCUAUUAAAGGUUCGUUUGUUCAACGAUUAACAACCCUACGUGAUCUGAUUUCAGACCGGA